GGAGUUGUGACUCAGUGGUAGAGUACUCGCCUAGUGUGGGUGAGGCACUGGGUUAGAUCCUCAACACCA
Molecule: transfer RNA, 69 nt
Filed under: Marmota monax (woodchuck)
Lineage: Eukaryota; Metazoa; Chordata; Mammalia; Rodentia; Sciuridae
Description: tRNA.Thr
Source: RNAcentral